RNAcentral lists this ribosomal RNA (253 nucleotides) under uncultured bacterium. Its description in RNAcentral is "partial 16S ribosomal RNA". It matches the Rfam family "Bacterial small subunit ribosomal RNA", at positions 524 to 776 of the family's 1533-position model. The record is from RNAcentral.
UACAGAGGUCUCAAGCGUUGUUCGGAUUCAUUGGGCGUAAAGGGUGUGUAGGUGGCGCGCUAAGUCGGGUGUGAAAUUUCGGAGCUUAACUCCGAAACUGCAUUCGAUACUGCCGUGCUUGAGGACUGGAGAGGAGACUGGAAUUUACGGUGUAGCGGUGAAAUGCGUAGAUAUCAGGAGGAACACCGAUGGCGAAGGCAGGUCUCUGGGCUGAAACUGACGCUCAUGCACGAAAGCGUGGGGAGCAAACAGG